This 116-nucleotide small nuclear RNA is filed under the name Tupaia belangeri chinensis (Chinese tree shrew). Its description in RNAcentral is "Tupaia chinensis (Chinese tree shrew) U4 spliceosomal RNA". It matches the Rfam family "U4 spliceosomal RNA". From Rfam's summary of the family: U4 small nuclear RNA (U4 snRNA) is a component of the major U2-dependent spliceosome. The structure of U4 snRNA from yeast and human has been reported. U4 snRNA presents a k-turn RNA motif in the 5p-SL related to recognition of Snu13 protein. Lineage: Eukaryota; Metazoa; Chordata; Mammalia; Scandentia; Tupaiidae. The record is from Rfam by way of RNAcentral.
GCUUUUGCGCAGUGGCAGUAUGGGAGCCAAUGAGAUUUAUCCGAGGCACGAUUAUUGCUAAUUGAAAACUUUUCCCAAUACUCUUUUACAAUGAGGAAAGGCAGGCUCUUAGAAGU